CACGCCAUAAACGAUGAGUGCUAGGUGUUGGGGGUCAAACCUCGGUGCCGCAGUUAACGCAUUAAGCACUCCGCCUGGGGAGUACGUUCGCAAGAAUAAAACUCAAAGGAAUUGACGGGGACCCGCACAAGCAGCGGAGCAUGUGGUUUAAUUCGAAGCAACGCGAAGAACCUUACCAGGUCUUGACAUCCUUUGCACGUUUUAGAGAUAGAACAUUCCCUUCGGGGACAAAGAGACAGGUGG
This 243-nucleotide ribosomal RNA is filed under the name uncultured Eubacteriales bacterium. RNAcentral describes it as "uncultured Clostridiales bacterium partial 16S ribosomal RNA". It matches the Rfam family "Bacterial small subunit ribosomal RNA", at positions 796 to 1041 of the family's 1533-position model. Lineage: Bacteria; Bacillati; Bacillota; Clostridia; Eubacteriales. The record is from RNAcentral.